UUCAUGAAGCCGGAAUUGCUAGUAAUGGCAGGUCAGCAUACUGCCGUGAAUACGUUCCCGGGCCUUGUAUACACCGCCCGUCACACCAUGAGAGUUGGGAAUACCCGAAGCCUGUGAGCUAACUUAUAGAGGCAGCAGUCGAAGGUAGAAUCAAUGAUUGGGGUGAAGUCGUAACAAGGUAUC
This 183-nucleotide ribosomal RNA is filed under the name uncultured bacterium. RNAcentral's name for it is "partial 16S ribosomal RNA". It matches the Rfam family "Bacterial small subunit ribosomal RNA", at positions 1317 to 1500 of the family's 1533-position model. The record is from RNAcentral.